This 373-nucleotide ribosomal RNA is filed under the name uncultured bacterium. RNAcentral describes it as "bacterial SSU rRNA". It matches the Rfam family "Bacterial small subunit ribosomal RNA", at positions 525 to 896 of the family's 1533-position model. The record is from RNAcentral.
ACGUAGGGGGCAAGCGUUGUCCGGAUUUACUGGGCGUAAAGAGCGUGUAGGCGGCCAAGCAGGUCUGUUGUGAAAACUGGAGGCUCAACCUCCAGACGUCGACAGAAACCGCGUGGCUAGAGUCCGGAAGAGGAGAGUGGAAUUCCUGGUGUAGCGGUGAAAUGCGCAGAUAUCAGGAAGAACACCAAUGGCGAAGGCAGCUCUCUGGGACGGUACUGACGCUGAGACGCGAAAGCGUGGGGAGCGAACAGGAUUAGAUACCCUGGUAGUCCACGCCGUAAACGAUGGGUGCUAGGUGUGGGGGGUGUCGACUCCCUCCGUGCCGCAGCUAACGCAUUAAGCACCCCGCCUGGGGAGUACGGCCGCAAGGCUA